CCUACGGGUGGCAGCAGUAGGGAAUAUUGCUCAAUGGGGGAAACCCUGAAGCAGCAACGCCGCGUGGAGGAUGAAGGUUUUCGGAUUGUAAACCUCUUUUGUUAGAGAAGAACAUGACCGUAUCUAACGAAUAAGCACUGGCUAACUCCGUGCCAGCAGCCGCGGUAAUACGGAGGGUGCAAGCGUUACUCGGAAUUACUGGGCGUAAAGAGCGCGUAGGCGGGAUAGCAAGUCAGAUGUGAAAUCCUAGGGCUUAACCAUAGAACUGCAUUUGAAACUGUCAAUCUAGAGUGUGGGAGAGGUAAGUGGAAGUCUUGGUGUAGGGGUGAAAUCCGUAGAGAUCAAGAGGAACACUCGUGGCGAAGGCGACUUGCUAGAACAUAACUGACGCUGAGGAGCGAAAGCGUGGGUAGCAAACAGGAUUAGAUACCCGGGUAGUC
This 440-nucleotide ribosomal RNA is filed under the name uncultured bacterium. RNAcentral describes it as "partial 16S ribosomal RNA". It matches the Rfam family "Bacterial small subunit ribosomal RNA", at positions 338 to 795 of the family's 1533-position model. The record is from RNAcentral.